AGUGAACGCUGGCGGUAGGCCUAACACAUGCAAGUCGAACGGCAGCACAGUAAGAGCUUGCUCUUACGGGUGGCGAGUGGCGGACGGGUGAGGAAUACAUCGGAAUCUACUUUUUCGUGGGGGAUAACGUAGGGAAACUUACGCUAAUACCGCAUACGACCUACGGGUGAAAGCAGGGGAUCUUCGGACCUUGCGCGAUUGAAUGAGCCGAUGCCGGAUUAGCUAGUUGGCGGGGUAAAGGCCCACCAAGGCGACGAUCCGUAGCUGGUCUGAGAGGAUGAUCGGCCACACUGGAACUGAGCCACGGUCCAGACUCCUACGGGAGGCAGCAGUGGGGAAUAUUGAACAAUGGGCGCAAGCCUGAUACAGCCAUACCGCGUGGGUGAAGAAGGCCUUCGGGUUGUAAAGCCCUUUUGUUGGGAAAGAAAAGCAGCAGGUUAAUACCCCGCUGUUCUGACGGUACCCAAAGAAUAAGCACCGGCUAACUUCGUG
This 492-nucleotide ribosomal RNA is filed under the name uncultured bacterium. RNAcentral's name for it is "partial 16S ribosomal RNA". It matches the Rfam family "Bacterial small subunit ribosomal RNA", at positions 29 to 507 of the family's 1533-position model. The record is from RNAcentral.